Orcinus orca (killer whale) is the source of this 4035-nucleotide long non-coding RNA. RefSeq lists it as uncharacterized. The record is from RefSeq and is a predicted model, not a curated record. The transcript has 2 exons. NCBI's taxonomy places the organism in Eukaryota, Metazoa, Chordata, Mammalia, Artiodactyla, Delphinidae.
UAUUCAAUCUGACUGAUCCACUGGUUUAAUUUUAAAAUAAAAACGACUAAGAAAAGGAAUUACAUGUCCUUAUCAAAUCCCAGUCAUUAAUAUGCGUAAAUUGCAACCCACACGGGGAAACACCAAUUUAUAAAACGUAUACAUUAGACAAAUGAUAUCUGGGGAGGUGGGGUGGGAGAGGUGCAAGGUAAAUUCUCAUCGUUAACACUGGCCUCAGUAAGUUUGCUCAAAGUUUAAUUGUUUGGAGAUGUCACGCAAGCUGUACUCUGCCUUUCUGCAGAGCUGAGGGAGAAUAAAUUAGAAAGGUGCAAGUUUAACAAAAAGAGCUCGUGGAAAAUGGUCCAUUUCUUUCCUAUCCCUCUCCUCACAGGCCGUCUGGACAAAAAGAGAAAUCUACGGAAGAAUGUGGAGUACACACUGCCCAGCAUUGUCUAGGAGACGGAAAGAGAGCCCAGGCAACACACCAAGAGUAAGCUGUGUCCUGGGCGUGUGUAUCUUUGGACAGCAGAGCUUCCGGCUGCAGCGAGACGGGACUCACCGCGCCCGAGGGCUCCAGCAACCAGACCUAGGGAGGCUAGCGCGGCACACAGGUUAGAUAUACUUUCUCCUCCUCCACCUGCGCCGCCCUCCGCCUGGGUGCCAGGAGUGAUGAUGGAGGCGAUGGUGUCAAGGAGUAGGUGCCUGUGAGUGGGCGCCAACUUCAACGCCAACGCGAGCUUAGAUGGAACCAAGACCAAGGCUUGUAUCGACAGGCCAUCCUUCCCAGGGACCUGGAAGCCAACUACGCAACUCAGCAGGAGACUCUUCAAAGUCCUGUGUUUUUGGGUUUUUUUUUUUUAACAGACUGGUUUAUUUCAUGCAAUUCAUGAAAACCACCGCCAGACCACCUCUUACAACUUUUCCGCUCUUGGGCGGGGGCGCCAGGGUUGUCUCGCAACGCAAGAUUCCCUAUUACCAAGAGUUAGGCUCCUACCAGGAGGGUAUGCUGAGCAAAGCUUGAGGCCCUUUGGGCUACAGGAAGGGCGGGUUCCUGGGUUUUUUUCUGCUAUUGGUGCUGCGCCUCCAGGAUGGGGAGAUGGGAGAAAGCCAAACUGACUUAUCAGACCCGUCUCCACCGCACCCAUCGCCCAAACUCCCAGCACCGGUUUCGGAUUUGCAAACUGCUUGGCGUGGGCCGGGCACCAGAGCACAGCACCCUGGAGGCGGACAGCCCUAAGGCACUCUUCCCCUUUCCACUCCUCCACUCCCGGGGCACGCUCGCUUCCCUCGCUCCCCAGCGAAAGCCCCGUCUGGAGCCGGGAGCCGGCAUCACCCACACUGCCCAGGGAGGGUUCGCGUGGCUACCCGGGGGCCAAGUAAGCCGUGGAAGAUGUUUUCCCUCCCGCCUCCCCUGCAUCCCCGUCCUUCCUCGAUCUCAUCUGGGUACCCCACACCCUCUUCCCGGCUCAGCCCCGCAUACUCCUCUCUGACUUUGCGAGCACUUUUCCUGGGCACACAGGGCAGGGCGCAGCCUCCUCUGUGCCGCCCACGGCGCUCGCCACCCCGGGAGCGCCCGGGGUACCUCCUCCAGCCCCCUGCGCAGCGUUUCCCAGGGGACUCUCUGCCUGUCCCGCAACCGGCGCCCGGGGCCGUCGCCUCACCUUUGCAGAACUGAGGGACACCAAGGCUGAGCCCAACCAGGAGCCAAGCAGCCACCGAGCGCUUCAUGAUCCGUCUCUCGGACGUGACCCCGCUGGUCAGGGGUCCUAGUGGAGGGUAGUGUCGCUGAGGCUGCACCGCAGGGCAGCGGCAGACCCCGCCCCGACAGAGGAUUCAAGAAGAUGUCUUUUUCCUGCAGCGUCUCCUUAAACAAAUUCUUGGAGAGAGCAAGAAAGAGUGGCGACCAAAGAGAGGAAUCUUUCUUCCCCUUUUGCCUGCGCUCCGGGGCGCUGGGAGGUGGGCGAGCUCCGGGGAGUCGCCAGCGGGCUCAGCCUCCUCUGCGGGUGGGUCCCAGACGAGGCGCGGCGGGCGGGGCCGGGCGCCGGCGGCGGCUCGGGGUCACCCGCGCUGGCGGACCCGCAGACUGUGUGCUCUGCUCGCGCCGCCGCGGCCGGCUGCGGGGCUUCUGACUUAAGAGAACAAUGAAGCGUGAGCAGGCGGGGAGCGAGGGAGCGAGCCGAGAGCGCACUGUGUACAAACAGAGGCGGCGUGCGUGUGAGCUUGAGCCUCGCAGGCGCCCGCCCGCCCCGCGCGCCCCUCCUUCCUAUUCCCUCCAGCAGCCUCCCCCUCUUUCUCCCCCCCCCCCCCACCACUACCCCCCAGAGGUGGCUCCUUCUGCUGGAAGAGAAAAGGGAGACAACUGCAGCCACACCCUGGCACCUGCCACCACCUCUGAAGUUCCUACAGUGCCUGUACCUUCUGCACACACGCCAGAGACUCCGGGGUUAAGGGAAGCAGCCCUUGGUGUCUGAGAUUCUCUUGGUUUCCAGCACUGACUUUAUAAUUAACCACGUCAAGGAAUCCCCUGAAGUCCCGUUCUCUGCAUAGCCAGAAAAAGAAGUUAAGAGAUUUUGAAAAGUGGCUCUUGGGGCACAAAGCUGCCCGAGAGACAGAACGCUGCAAAGUGAAUUGUCCCGGAUUCCAGGAAAUGCAACCUAGUCAGCAGCCAGCCUCUAAUCAGCUAAGACAGGGCUGCUCUGCUGCUGUUCUGGCUGCACUUUGGUUGGCUCUAGGGUUGGGGAGAGAGCCCUGUGGGCUCCUCUGUCCACCGGGGCAAAAAGGUGAAGGCACAGGGCAAGCCAGUGGGAGGCAUACAUCUCCUCAAGGAGGACAUCUGUUUCAGAUGAGAAAUAGCGGGGCGAGUUUGGGGACCGUGCAAGAAAAUAAAAGGCAAAGACAGAUUCUUGAAGCAUCACCAUGGUAGAUCAAAUUUCGCUGCUACCCACCAAAAGCAAUAUAAAUUGACUGGCUUUUCGCAGUCAAAGUGGCUGAACCAAACUACAGCCCAUGGCUUACAAUAGUGUUUUCUCCUCUGUUUUCCAUUUAAAAUAUUUGCUUAGGGUACAUGGAUUCAGCUCUGGCAGUUGCAGGUACCAAAAUAAAAACAGCCUUUUUUUUUUUUUUUUCUUCCUUCUAGAGAGGGAGGUAGGGAGAGAGACAGAAACACCAGCAAAGAAACAUUGAAGGAAACAUUCUUGAAGGCAAAGAUUUGAAAGGAGAAUGUACUAAGAAAAAGAUAGCAGAGGACAAUUGGUCAUGCAAUUCAUCUCCUUUUGCCUCCUUGACUCCUUUAAACUUCAAUUUCUACCUUCCUUUGGAAUUUGAAGUGAGAGCAAGGAUGUAAGGCUGAUGGAAAAAUAACUGCAUACUGCCACCGAGAAGUUAAGGUACCGCUGGCAAACAAACAAAAAAACAAGAGCAACAACAAAAAUUAUUUGAAAACAAGGUUUGUUCAGAUCUCAUGUUUGGUGGGGGUACAAGAACAUUUUUUAAAAAAUGAUUUUGCUAAGGGAAAGAGGAAGAAUCAUUUAUUUAUAUUCUGUUUUCUUGCUUAAAGCCACAGAUGUUAGUGUAACGUACCACUGUCCAGAGCUGCAGCAAAGCAGUUUUAAACAAGCAAAUUCCAACUUUCUGUCACAUCACUGUUACUUAAUUUUAAAAGUAUGCUUUUUAUCAGUCAUGUGGUGGCAUGUCCAUCAUAAAGUAUCUCUUUAACUUUUUGAAGUGUGAUGUUUAAUAUUAGUUUUAAGGUAUUAUUUCUAAAACAUAGUACUAAAUCUCAAAAACGAACAGACAGACACUACUAUAUAUAUGAUAGGUAACCAACAAGGACCUAUUGUAUAGCUCAGGGAGGUCUCCUCAAUAUUCUAUGAUAACCUAUAUGAGAAAAAGUCUAAAAAAGAAUGAAUAUAUGUAUUUGUAUAACUGUAUCACUUUGCUGUACACCUGAAACUAACAAGACAUUGUAAAUCAACUAUACUCCGAGAAAAUUUAAAUAAAUAAUAAAAUAAAAUCAGAAAACAAUGACUGUGAUGAGACAUUAAAGAAAAAAAUUGU